Non-coding RNA from Pelobates cultripes (western spadefoot toad), 220 nucleotides. Lineage: Eukaryota; Metazoa; Chordata; Amphibia; Anura; Pelobatidae. The record is from the annotation of a GenBank genome assembly.
GCAGUGUUUGGAAUGUUCAAGGUGUCCAGUAGUCUGUUUUAUUAAUUGGAAAAUUACUUCACGUUUUUCUUCACUGACACCUGGUUUACGCACACCAUAAAAUGUCUGUCUGUUUAAAGGAAUCUCCCUGUAGUCCCCAACAAGAUUUUAUCCCAUUGCUUCACAGAUGCAGUUCACCUUGAUCAUUUAUCACACACAAUUUACAUGUUGUAUAUUAAAA